GUCCUUUUGAGUAUAUUUAAGGUCUGACCUGCCCGGUGAUUUAUUUUAACGGCCGCGGUAUAUUGACCGUGCAAAGGUAGCAUAAUCAUUAGUCUUUUAAAAGAGGGCUGGAAUGAAAGGUUUGACGAGGUAUUGACUGUCUCAUUUUAUUUGGAUUUAGAAUUUAACUUUUUAGUCAAAAGGCUUAAAUUUAAUUGGAAGACGAGAAGACCCUAUAGAGCUUUAUAUUAAUUAUUUUAAUUAUGAAUAUAUAAUUUUUAAUUAGAUGAAUUAUUAUUUUGUUGGGGUGACAGAAAAAUAGAACUAACUUUUUUAUUUAUUUAACAUUAAUUUAUGGUUAUUUGAUCCAUUAUUAUUGAUUAUUAGAUUAAGUUACCUUAGGGAUAACAGCGUAAUCCCCUCCCAGAGUUCAUAUUUACGAGUGGCGCUUGCGACCUCGAUGUUGGAUUAAGAUAAUAAUUAGGUGUAGCCGCUUAAUUUAUAGGUCUGUUCGACCUUUAAAUUCUU
RNAcentral lists this ribosomal RNA (507 nucleotides) under Somatochlora clavata. RNAcentral describes it as "partial 16S rRNA". It matches the Rfam family "Bacterial large subunit ribosomal RNA", at positions 1829 to 2597 of the family's 2925-position model. The record is from RNAcentral. Lineage: Eukaryota; Metazoa; Arthropoda; Insecta; Odonata; Corduliidae.